GGAAGUCAUUGCAUUUAAGAAAAAAAUUUCAAUAUACAUUUUUGGUUUUUUUUUUUCGGAGAAGACACAUUUUUGCCUUGUUGAUAUUUAUAAAUAAAAAAACUGGUUUUAAUAAUAUGAUUAGUAGUGGUCCCAUCGGGUUCUAAGACUGUGCCACACUAAAUUAUGCUAAAUGGCGCAUCCAGUGGCCCACCGGCCCUUGCCAUGAAAACUGUGAAAAGUAGAGAGGAGAGAACCAUUGACCAAAAGUGACAUUACAAUAAAAUACAAGGCCUCCCUGUUUCUCGAAUGGGGAUCUCUCACCAUCACACUUGGACUUUGGGCCAAUCCAAACCCCUGAGCCAGCUGGCGAAUGAUAAUCCAGAAGCCUGAAUGCCAUAGAGCAAUGGGAAAUGCCCUCACUAUAAGGUCUACAGGAAGAUGCCAUGGGAUGCCGGGAAGAUUUGGAAACUUGCCUGUUUGGCCUUAUUUAUUAGCAGAGAACAAACAACAAUCCAACUUGCUGAAUCAUCCCAUUUUAUCUUCAAGAAAUGGAAAUGGCCCAAACGUGUUUAGAGGUACCUUUGCUCUGUCAGCAGAAAGAUACACAGGAACUUUUGUUGCUGAUAAUUGACUCUUUCUAAUAAACCUUGUAUGCCUUCACAGAGCAAAGCUGGGACCAUAUAAGAUCCACAAUCUUUUGCUGCUGAUACUUUUGCCAAUAAAGAAUUUCCAAAAUCCGACAAUGUCAAUCACGGCUGCACUAUUCUUGUUGGAUGGUUGAAGCGUGCAACUUCAGCUUCAAAUCAGUACCAAUCCUGGCUUUGUUGGAAUCUUCUCCUUAAACGUAUAAAUCACCAUUUCCACUUUUUUGCUUCUAGACACUAAGCAAUUUUGCCCUCCCUGCACAGGACAAUUUUGUUUUUCAUCACUGCUGCCAUCAUCAAACACCACUUUAGAAAAUCAAAGUGAAGAAAUUUAGCCCGCAAUUAACUGCACAAUGACCUACCACCAGAACCCAGUUCAACUUCCCACAAAAUAGAUAAGAUGUCAUCAUCUUCCAAUUUCUUCAAGCCUCCAGAGGACUUGCCUAAUGUUUGGUCUAAGGGAGGGUGAAGGAGAACAACAUGCCAUAGCAAGCUGAAAGAAUUUGAGCACAGUUUCCUCAGUAACAGUACUUUCAUUUAUGUCUGGAUGGUAUAAAUCUGUGAUCCUUCUAUCAAGAACUGCAUUUCUCAUGAAAGUUGGCAGAUGAAAAUCAUUAUCAUUGGUUGGAUUCUCAUUGAUUCGUUCCUUCCCUGAAAGUAGUUCAAGCAAGAUUAUCCCAAGGCUGUAUACAUCAGUCUGCUCACUUGCAUCUUUCAUUUUGAUAAGCUCGGGAGCUUUGUAUCCAUCAGCUGCAGAAGCUUCAAGCAUUUCUUGGCCAGCAGUAGGAUUCAACAGGAGAUGCAGGCCGAAGUCCGAUAUGUAUGGUUGGUAAUUGCGAUCCAACAAAAUGUUUUUUAACUUGAGAUUCCCAUGAAUUACAGGCUUCUGAAAUCCUGUGUGAAGAUGAUCCAAUCCUUUGGCUAUGCCAAUAGAUAUCCUAUAUACGAUGGUCCAUUUGUGAGACUCAGCAUUUCCAUCUGCCCAUAAAGAACAUUGUUGGACCAUUCAAGAUUUAUUGCCACUUAAGAGUACUUCAAGUACAAGAAUUUACCUGAAACAGCUAGAAACUUGGUGUCCAAGUUGGAACACAGUCACACAAAGCAACAUUAAAAGCAAGGUUAUUUCAUGAAGGUUAUGAAAGGUAAACCAACAUUAUCUUUUUUUGGGAGAUGUGGAAAGGAAGGGAAAAUGACAAAAGGUCGGUGCCGACAGAUAUAAAUUAAGUAGUGGAGAAACCCAAAAAAUUGACUAGUUGCCCAAUAAGAGUUCUAAAAUAAUGCAGGCAAAACAAGAUUUUGAGUCUAAAUCCAGGUAAAGGGUCUCACUGAAAGUCACACCCCAACCACUUAAUCCCCAAGAAAGAAUAGAUAAAAUAAAUGAACAUAAUUGGAACUUCGGAGAUUAAAAAGGAAAAAAAAAAAUCUACACUUGAUCUGAUUGACCAAGAUCUAUGCAAGUCUGAACAUGCCAAGCCAAAUUAUGGACAACUCUAUUAAUAGAUUAUAUACGCAAUAAAAUAGAAAUUUGAUGAUGCAAAAUCAGUUAGAAAUGAAAAAUCAGUAGAAAGAUGAAAUACGAAAACAAAUUGGCUAUACAUGUUCUAAUUUAUGAGUCCAUUUAUGUUGUAGGGGAACUAAACAUCAAGAAAUUGAAGAAAACACGGGAAAAAAUCAGCCAUUCCUUCCAUCUCGGUUCUAAGACUCUGUCAAGAUAAAGGUUUGUUACCCUGUUUCCAUUAUUGCUCAUUCCUUCUUUUCUUUUCUUUAUUUUUUUAGUUACUUGUGAAAAAAAAAUAGCAAAAACCAAUUUAACGCAAAUAUCAAUCAGCUGAAAGGAGAAUUAGAAAGCAGAGGACUAACAGAAAAAUUAUGAAUCUUAUAGUUUCAUUUUUCCGCUCAGGUGAAGUCAGCAAAUACUUAACUACGUAGAAAUGUCAGGAAAAAACUAACUCAUUUUAUGAAAUUUAUAUGUAGACAUUUUCUCAGCAACCAAACCAAAAAAAAAAUAAUAAUAACAAACUAAUCCACUUACCUCUGAUGAACUGAGCCAAACUGCCACGUCUGAAAAACGGAUGAACAAGAAGCUUUUCCCCACUCGGCCCUGCAUAGAACCCCAAAAGAGGGACUAAAUUAGGGUGUCUAAUGCUGCCCAGCAGCUGUAUCACUUCCCCAAAAUCUUUAGCCCUUGCGAUGCAAACUGGCCUCAAGAACCUAAGCAGCCUCAAACAGUUGCUCCUGUACAACAAGGCCUUGUAUAAGGUACCAUAGUUGGAUUUUCCUAUCACCUCUCCUGGAGCAUCAAGAAUGUCACUGAUUGUAAGGUCUUGCCCCCCUUGGAAUGUCAACAAGUCCUCCCUGUCUGUGUCAUCCCUAUGCUUGAGUUCAGGGCUUUCUACGUCAUUUUGGCCAUUUCCUGCCCUUCUUUUGAAGUAAAGAAAGACGACAAGUAUGAGACUAAUAAAAAUGGUAGCCGAAGUUAGUCCAAGAAGGAGUUUUAGCAAAUGGGUGUUAUUCAUUUCUAGUGACUUGUGAUCCCUAUUAGAUUAGAGCAGUGAGAAAAGAUAAGAUAUCAAGAAGAACUUUUAAAAGUGUAGGAGAGACAAAGAACAGAGAAGUAAGAUCUAGGUACAGUGUGAGAGAGACGGUGAAUAUUGUUGGGUUUUUUUUUUUUUUUUCAAAUAUUGUUGGGUUUAAUGAAAGCCGAGUUUAGGAUUUUCAUGCAAAAGUGUGAGGGGAGAAGACAAGAAGAUGAAGAUAGAAAACUUUCUGGGAGGGGUGUGGAAACCAAGAUUUAUGUGGUUUAUUUGCAAGA
RNAcentral lists this unclassified non-coding RNA (3438 nucleotides) under Hevea brasiliensis (rubber tree). The record is from RNAcentral. Lineage: Eukaryota; Viridiplantae; Streptophyta; Magnoliopsida; Malpighiales; Euphorbiaceae.